This 278-nucleotide unclassified non-coding RNA is filed under the name Hevea brasiliensis (rubber tree). The record is from RNAcentral. Lineage: Eukaryota; Viridiplantae; Streptophyta; Magnoliopsida; Malpighiales; Euphorbiaceae.
GUUUUCUACGAAACAAACGGAACUAGAAAAAAGAAGCAACGAGUUCCAUGUCAAAUAAUCAGAGCUGAAAACUUUUUUUCUACCAUUUGCAAGAACGGACUUAAAGCCUUGUGAAAGCAGCCUUCCUAAAAAAGUAUCAAUUAGAGGACUAUAGCUUCCUACAUCAGGCAGGCAGCCUCUUCCAACCAUGUCACCAAGGAGCUUCAAAGCACUCCCUUCUUUUCCUUGCCCAGAAAAAUCCAAUAGUGAGAGCAUUAAAUGAUACAACAGGAAAAUAA